RNAcentral lists this long non-coding RNA (587 nucleotides) under Marmota monax (woodchuck). Lineage: Eukaryota; Metazoa; Chordata; Mammalia; Rodentia; Sciuridae. The record is from RNAcentral.
AGGGAAUGAAGCCCAUGGCCGGAGCCUGGGGCAACCCCAGGGCUCCCCUGAGGUCUGGUGGUCCCAUACUCUGUGGUCCUGCUCCAUUACACUCUGACAUGCUCCCAGGGGACCUAGGACAGAGCUGAAGGGAGAGUGAAUGGUGUGUGACUUGAAGCUGAUCUAGUGUGCCCUCCUGCUCUGGUCCUUCCUGGAGUGGCACUAGGUUCACAUUGGGUGAGGGACAGGCUUGUAUGUAUGUUCAGAUGAGGGAUGGCAGGUAUGGAUUCAGGGGGUGAUGAGGUUGCUCCCCUCUGGUUAGGGGCACAGUCCUGCUCUGGUUAGGGACACAGUGUCUUGCCACUGCUAGGAGGCCACCGAACUGCCUCUGGUCGGAACCUGGGACCAUAUGCAUGCACUGCACUUCUGAGCUCCAUUGCUGUGGCUAGGGACAUUAUCCUAGCUGUGUGUUCCCUUGGUCAUAGCCUUGUGGCCAGAAGUUAAACUGGGGAGAGAAGGGUGGGUUUGGAUGGGUACUUUGGAAUGUGGGGAGGGUUUGGAUGGGUACUUUGGAAUGUGGGGAGCUUGUGAUUUGUGCUCACAUCUUG